RNAcentral lists this ribosomal RNA (433 nucleotides) under uncultured bacterium. Its description in RNAcentral is "partial 16S ribosomal RNA". It matches the Rfam family "Bacterial small subunit ribosomal RNA", at positions 29 to 507 of the family's 1533-position model. The record is from RNAcentral.
AGCGAACGCUGGCGGCAGGCCUAACACAUGCAAGUCGAACGAACUCUUCGUAGUUAGUGGCUGACGGGUGAGUAACACGUCGGAACGUUCCGUUAGGUUCGGAAUAACUCAGUGUAACUUGAGCUAAUACCGGAUGUGUCAUUCGAGGGCAAGAUUUAUCGUCCUUGUAGCGGCACGAGUCGGUCUAGCAAGUUGGUGAUGUAAAGGCCUACGAAGGGGUCGCUAGUUAGCGGGUCUGAGAGGAUGAGCAGCCACAUUGGGACUGAGACACGGCCGAAACUCUUACGGGAGGCAGGAGUGGCGGAUCUAGCGCAACCGGCUAAAGGAUGACGGAGCUAUGCUGCUAGAAUGAUGAUGUUGUUAGGAUAGAAAAAUUCUUUCACCGGGGGCUAUACUGACGGUACCCAAAGAAGAAGCACCGGCUAACUUCGUG